CGGUUCUCGGCCAGGGGUGGGUGGGGAAGAGGUGGAAGCAAAGGCUGUGCAGACAAUGGAGAGGGGAAAAGUCGCAUCCCAAAGUUUCUCACAAGCUUAAAAAAGAGAAACGAAAAAUUGACAACUCUUACACAGAAGAGCCCACAAAAGCUGCAGCAGCACCAGGGGUGAAGAAGCAGCGACAGACCCAGGUCUGCAAGACAUUUGGAGGAACUCUUCCCAUCACACAAGGGAGAAAAUGAAGCUCUCUACUGGUCUCUAUCAAAGAAGCUAAAUAUUUCCCUCUCUUUUCUGCAAGUUUCCCAAACCCCAUGACUCUGAUUUCCAGGUCAGAGAGUAAGGUUUUAUUUUUAUUAUUCUUUAUACUUUGCAUUGGAGAGUCCCUAAAAGGCAUUGUGAUGGACUAAUUAUUAUGAGCCUGUUGCAGGCAAGCCAGGAUUUGGGUGUGACAAGAAAUUCAAUCACACCUGCUCAGUGAUCUUUGGGCCCCAAGUCAGCUCCUACGUUCUCCUGACAAACAGCGCCCUCCUCCUCUGCCCUGGAGGUGGUGAGCAAACUCCUACUUUGGGCUGAGCCAGUCUCAGGAUUCUUAAGAGGUUGGGGUAGUGGCCCAAAAUUUAAGAGGAUUGGAAUUCUGUAUGUGGCAUUUCUGCUUUCAUUCCUAAACAGUAGGGAAGGAAAAAUAAGCAUGUGGCAAAUAAGAAACCUCACUAAAAAUUUUAAUUUAAAAGACUGCUGGGUUAAGAGAAAUGAAAAUUUUGUCCAUGUAAAACUUGUCCACAAAUGUUAUAGCAGCAUUAUUCAUAAUAGCCAAAAAGGAGAAACAGUUCAAAUGGCCACCUGGCUGCCAACUCAUGAGUGGAUAAACAACAUGUCGUAUAUCCCCACAAUAGAAUACUAUUUGGAAAUAAAAAAUGAAUGAAAUAUUGGCCCAUGCUACAAAAUGGAUGAACCUUCAAACAUUAUGCUAAGUGAAAGAUGCCAGCCACAAAGAUACACCUAUUGCAUGAUUCCGUUCAUACAAAAUUCCCAGGCUAGGCAUAUCUAUAAAGACAAAAAGUCAUCUAGGGGUCACCAAGGGCUGUAGCUCAGAGCCGAGGCAUUACAAGAUGACAGUUGGGUGGUUCAGAGUUUCUGUUGGGGGGUGAUGAAAAUGUUGUAAAAUUAAUUGUGGUGAAGGUUGAACAACUCUGUGAAUGUACCAAAAACCAUCGGAUUUUGCAAUUUAAAUGGGUAAAUUGCAUGGUGUGCAAACUAUAUCUCAAUAAAGCUGUUAAUUUUUUU
Hippopotamus amphibius kiboko is the source of this 1284-nucleotide long non-coding RNA. RefSeq lists it as uncharacterized. Lineage: Eukaryota; Metazoa; Chordata; Mammalia; Artiodactyla; Hippopotamidae. The transcript is spliced from 3 exons. The record is from RefSeq and is a predicted model, not a curated record.